Long non-coding RNA from Telopea speciosissima, 1670 nucleotides. RefSeq lists it as uncharacterized. The record is from RefSeq and is a predicted model, not a curated record. The transcript is spliced from 3 exons. NCBI's taxonomy places the organism in Eukaryota, Viridiplantae, Streptophyta, Magnoliopsida, Proteales, Proteaceae.
AAGUAAAAUUAUUGACUUGUAUGCGUUCUCACCUGUUGUAUCACAUCGCGGGCCUUUUAGUCUUGAACUAUAAUUCAGGUAGAGUAUCUUAUGCUGGAGGAAGCCAAAAAACUAUGACUACAGAUCAGUAGGAUCAAAACCAGAUCUUUUCUUUUGCUGUUCACUUAGGUAGUUAGGUAUUGAUCAAAUCUUAAUCUAAUAUGAUACUCUGUAGUGAGUUGUAAUUGUUUGAACAUCUCUGGCAUUUCCUGUGACAUUUCUGCCCAGGAAGUUGGUUCUUCCUGGGCUAACAAACUAAUUGACUCAUGAACUCAUCAUAGAGAUAGAAUUUACCAGGAGCUUAACUUCCAUUUCUAUAGUUACCUGACCUUUUAUUAUUUGACUUAUAAGAACAGAUACUACAUUUGAUCUUACCCUUUUUCCUUAUUGUCUGGCCAAAGUUUGCGAUAUUGAUAAACUGGAAUUUUCAUUUAGCUUUAGGUAAGUUUUGUCACCAAAAUUUGCAAAAUUUUAACUCUGGGAAACAUCUGGCCAAUCACCUAUUUGCAUAAGGGUUAACUGUUGUCGGAAGUUCUUUGAUCCUUUCUUUCCAAUUGUGCCAACAGAGCAUGAAUGAUAAUCACUUCCCAUAGGAUUCAGCCUUAUGUGCAUAAACCUUUGCACCAAUAACUACUUGUGUCCUAAAUCUUAAUACACUGCUGGAGUAACCAAAAGAUACUUAAACACUUUAAUGCCCACCACCAUAUGAUCGUAGAGCACAAUAUAAUCAUGAUGAUUUACCUACUCUUCAUAUUCUAAGUAUGCAGACACUUGUUGGAAAGUUUAUUUUCUGACCAAUCAGGUGAUAAGGUGUAUUAUCUUUUCUAACAUGGUGUUCUGGAAGAAGAAAAUCUGCUUCGUUGAACUUGGAAUCCCUAUACUACUGUCUCUGAUGAUGGAUUGCCUUUUCAAGAUUAGAACUAGGAUCUUUUCAUUUUAGGCUUUUUUCUCCAUUGAUUUAUUAUCCACAUCACUUAGGUCAAUGUAACUUCCCUUACCUACUCAUCAGGUCAAACAUCUCUUCUGGAAUAUGAAGAUGGAAGAAAAGGCAAAGGAGAAAGACCAACUUAUCACCUCAAUGCACACUUGUUGUGAGAUAAAAGAAAUGAAUAAUGUAUCUGAAAACCAAUGACAUGAUCUCAUGUAACUUGGACCAUAAAAAUAUAAAGAUGAGUAUGCCUUCAUGUCUUUGGCCAAGAAUUAUCUAACUAUGUUGAAAAUUUUUGUGAGGCAUCUUCUAGUUUCAUUGUUCUUUUUAGCUUUCAAAUCAUAUUACCUUCGAUUAUUUAUCCUUCAUUUUGUACAGAUAGAGAAACAAGAAUUUGGACUGAAGCCCAUGAACUGCCUAAGGUUGUAUGAUGUUUGCAUAUGGAGUUCAUUCAUAUAGAGACAAACUGAGAUUCCAGUGCCCUUCAAAACAUCAUUUGCGUCUAAGGUAUGCAUGCUUGCUAAAUUAGGUGCCCUGCCUUCCUUUUGAUCUCUGAAUCUAUCUUUUUAGGAGAAAUUUGCAUUUGAGCUGGAUUGGUGUGCAAAGGAGAUCAAGUUCACUGUGAUGAGGAAGAAAUGAACUCUGUUUACCAUUUUUUUUGUUUUUUAUUGGUGGAACAGUUACUUCUUAUUUAUUAUUGAAA